AAUAGAUACCCGGGUAGUCCACGCCGUAAACGGUGAGUGCUAAGUGUUAGAGGGUUUCCGCCCUUUAGUGCUGCAGCUAACGCAUUAAGCACUCCGCCUGGGGAGUACGGCCGCAAGGCUGAAACUCAAAGGAAUUGACGGGGGCCCGCACAAGCGGUGGAGCAUGUGGUUUAAUUCGAAGCAACGCGAAGAACCUUACCAGGUCUUGACAUCCUCUGCCAACCCUAGAGAUAGGGCGUUCCCCUUCGGGGGACAGAGUGACAGGUGGUGCAUGGUUGUCGUCAGCUCGUGUCGUGAGAUGUUGGGUUAAGUCCCGCAACGAGCGCAACCCUUGAUCUUAGUUGCCAGCAUUUAGUUGGGCACUCUAAGGUGACUGCCGGUGACAAACCGGAGGAAGUGGGGAUGACGUCAAAUCAUCAUGCCCCUUAUGACCUGGGCUACACACGUGCUACAAUGGAUGGUACAAAGAGCUGCGAACCCGCGAGGGUAAGCCAAUCUCAUAAAGCCAUUCUCAGUUCGGAUUGUAGGCUGCUAACCG
Molecule: ribosomal RNA, 538 nt
Filed under: uncultured bacterium
Lineage: Bacteria
Description: bacterial SSU rRNA
Rfam family: Bacterial small subunit ribosomal RNA
Source: RNAcentral